GGGGUGGGUAGCGGAGGCUGAUCGCCUCGGUCGUCUCCGGAUCGCCGAUCACCACCGGCCCCCGGUCGGUCUCCACCACCUCCACCUCG
Molecule: transfer RNA, 89 nt
Filed under: Salinispora arenicola
Lineage: Bacteria; Bacillati; Actinomycetota; Actinomycetes; Micromonosporales; Micromonosporaceae
Description: tRNA-Glu
Source: RNAcentral